Molecule: ribosomal RNA, 248 nt
Filed under: uncultured bacterium
Lineage: Bacteria
Description: partial 16S ribosomal RNA
Rfam family: Bacterial small subunit ribosomal RNA
Source: RNAcentral
UACGUAGGGUGCGAGCGUUGUCCGGAAUUAUUGGGCGUAAAGAGCUCGUAGGCGGUCUGUCGCGUCUGCUGUGAAAACCCGAGGCUCAACCUCGGGCCUGCAGUGGGUACGGGCAGACUAGAGUGCGGUAGGGGAGAAUGGAACUCCUGGUGUAGCGGUGGAAUGCGCAGAUAUUGGGAAGAACACCGGUGGCGAAGGCGGCGCUCUGGACCGAGGACUGACGCUGAGGCGCGAAAGCGUGGGGAGCC